GUAGGUGCUGGGCGUGGUGCAGAUGCAACCCAUCAAAAAGCGGGACUCACGCAGGUGUGGCUGUGUGGCCCAUAGCAAAGGACGCUGACUGGACAGCCAACCUCAGGGCACGAGGCAGGGCACCUAGGCACAGGGCAGCACCUGCUGGCACAUGUGUCUGACUCUCCUCUUCACAUCCUAUGAGGACCAGCUGCUCCUGAGGUGCGGGAUCCCUCCUGUGCACGUCAGUGACGAGCCGGGGUCCAGCCAGCCAUCCUGUCUCCUUCAGGUGUUGCUUCAAUGUCUCUAAGUCAGAGGCAAAGAGAUAUCACCCACUUCAAAGUC
RNAcentral lists this long non-coding RNA (324 nucleotides) under Felis catus (domestic cat). RNAcentral describes it as "lncRNA (ENSFCAG00000050083.1)". The record is from RNAcentral. Lineage: Eukaryota; Metazoa; Chordata; Mammalia; Carnivora; Felidae.